GCGUAUAAAGAUAUAGGAUUAUAUAACACCAUUAAUGUUUCAUUUUAAUUACACAGUUUAAAUAAAAGCCAAUGUACAAAUACUGACACAAGGAAAUUACAGCAAAUAUUAUAAUUAUUAACAAAAGUCGCUUCUGGGAUAAGAAAAAGUGGCUGUGUUUAAAAUUAUUUCUGUGCUCAGGAGUGAACAAUUUUACUGAAUCCUCGCCAACUUUGAACAGAACACAUUUUCCUUACUUGUAGGAGGUUCUAUCGCAAGAUGAUCUUUUAAGACAUAUUCGUUGAAGCCAAAUUUACGAUUUCCUUGUAGAAAUGAGAAUAUUUUUCGCUGUUUAUUUCUCGAUUACCACAUUUAUCAUUGAAUCACAAGAUAAUUGAUGUAUCACAUACAAGAUUUCUAAAACAAUGUGUACCUUACAAAACAUACACCUUACAAAAACAUAAUAUAAAUGAUAAAAACCCAGAUAGAAAUAGAAAUGUUGAAUUUUUGCUUAAUUUUUUAAGUAAACGGAAGUCGGAGUACAUUUUAAAGGGUUACCAGCAUAAAAAAGAACUUUUUUCAACUAAAACUGCUUCUCAGCAAAAAGCCAAAAGCUUCCAAAGAAAUUAACAACAAAAUAAUGUUCCAUUUUUUCUUAAUUAGGAGGUAAACUAUACCACAAUUAUUAUGAAUAAAAAAACGAACUAUUAAACAAAAAAAAAAUUACCAAAGGUUUCGUAAUCGUAAACGUAUAAAUUUUGGCCAUACAGAAAUCUAAUCACAUCAUAACAUGAAACCGCCUCCCAAGGUUUAUUGUAUACCUAUUUAAGUUUUCCAAUUUUAAACAAAGCAAACAUUAUACAGUAAACUAGACAA
Long non-coding RNA from Nymphalis io (European peacock), 855 nucleotides. RefSeq lists it as uncharacterized. The record is from RefSeq and is a predicted model, not a curated record. NCBI's taxonomy places the organism in Eukaryota, Metazoa, Arthropoda, Insecta, Lepidoptera, Nymphalidae. The transcript is spliced from 3 exons.